UUUCGCAAUGCCCGAAAGGGUGACGAAGCGACGCCGCGUGUGGGAAGAAGGCCUUCGGGUUGUAAACCACUGUCGGGAGUUAGGAAAUGCAGGUGCGUUAAUAGCGCACUUGCUUGACUAAGGCUCCAGAGGAAGCCACGGCUAACUCUGUGCCAGCAGCCGCGGUAAUACAGAGGCGGCAAGCGUUGUUCGGAAUUAUUGGACGUAAAGAGCACGUAGGCGGCCUUGCAAGUCAGCUGUGAAAGCCUUCCGCUUAACGGAAGAACGGCAUCUGAUACUACAGGGCUUGAGUACGGGAGGGGAGAGUGGAACUUCUGGUGGAGCGGUGAAAUGCGUAGAUAUCAGAAGGAACGCCGGCGGCGAAAGCGACUCUCUGGUCCGAAACUGACGCUGAGUGUGCGAAAGCUAGGGGAGCAAACGGGAUUAGAUACCCCGGUAGUCCUAGCCGUAAACGAUGGGCACUAAGUAGAGGGGUUUU
RNAcentral lists this ribosomal RNA (478 nucleotides) under uncultured Planctomycetales bacterium. Its description in RNAcentral is "bacterial SSU rRNA". It matches the Rfam family "Bacterial small subunit ribosomal RNA", at positions 364 to 832 of the family's 1533-position model. Lineage: Bacteria; Pseudomonadati; Planctomycetota; Planctomycetia; Planctomycetales. The record is from RNAcentral.